RNAcentral lists this transfer RNA (74 nucleotides) under Myotis brandtii (Brandt's bat). It matches the Rfam family "tRNA". Rfam says of the family: Transfer RNA (tRNA) molecules are approximately 80 nucleotides in length. Their secondary structure includes four short double-helical elements and three loops (D, anti-codon, and T loops). Lineage: Eukaryota; Metazoa; Chordata; Mammalia; Chiroptera; Vespertilionidae. The record is from Rfam by way of RNAcentral.
UGGCCGGUAGCUCAGUUAGUUAGAGCGUUGUCCUGCUAUGCCAAGGUUGUGGGUUCGAUCUCCGAUCAGGGCAU